GAUGAACGCUGACAGAAUGCUUAACACAUGCAAGUCUAUGAGAAGAUCUACUUCGGUAGAAGGUAUCAUGGCGGACGGGUGAGUAACGCGUAAAGAACUUGCCUCUUAGACUGGGAUAACAGAUGGAAACGUUUGAUAAGACUAGAUAUAAUAAUGACAUGGCAUCAUGUUGUUAUGAAAGGUAACACUAAGAGAGAGCUUUGCGUCCUAUUAGUUAGUUGGUGAGGUAAUGGCUCACCAAGACGAUGAUAGGUAGCCGGCCUGAGAGGGUGAACGGCCACAAGGGGACUGAGAUACGGCCCUUACUCUUACGGGAGGCAGCAGUGGGGAAUAUUGGACAAUGGAGGAAACUCUGAUCCAGCAAUUCUGUGUGCACGAUGAAGGUUUUCGGAUCGUAAAGUGCUUUCAGUAGGGAAGAAGAAAGUGACGGUACCUACAGAAGAAGCGACGGCUAAAUACGUGCCAGCAGCCGCGGUAAAGCUACGU
RNAcentral lists this ribosomal RNA (486 nucleotides) under uncultured bacterium. RNAcentral describes it as "bacterial SSU rRNA". It matches the Rfam family "Bacterial small subunit ribosomal RNA", at positions 28 to 528 of the family's 1533-position model. The record is from RNAcentral.